CAGCAGUGAGGAAUAUUGGUCAAUGGUCGGGAGACUGAACCAGCCAAGCCGCGUGAGGGAGGAAGGUACAGAGUAUCGUAAACCUCUUUUGUCAGGGAACAAAGACUGGGACGCGUCCCCGGAUGAGUGUACCUGAAGAAAAAGCAUCGGCUAACUCCGUGCCAGCAGCCGCGGUAAUACGGAGGAUGCGAGCGUUAUCCGGAUUUAUUGGGUUUAAAGGGUGCGCAGGCGGUCUGUUAAGUCAGCGGUCAAAGCCCGGGGCUCAACCCCGGCCCGCCGUUGAAACUGGCAGUCUCGAGUUGGAGAGAAGUAUGCGGAAUGCGCGGUGUAGCGGUGAAAUGCAUAGAUAUCGCGCAGAACUCCGAUUGCGAAGGCAGCAUGCCGGCUCCACACUGACGCUGAGGCACGAAAGCGUGGGUAUCGAACAGGAUUAGA
Molecule: ribosomal RNA, 435 nt
Filed under: uncultured Porphyromonadaceae bacterium
Lineage: Bacteria; Pseudomonadati; Bacteroidota; Bacteroidia; Bacteroidales; Porphyromonadaceae
Description: bacterial SSU rRNA
Rfam family: Bacterial small subunit ribosomal RNA
Source: RNAcentral